AACAACCCUGGCCUUUUGUGGACAUCAAUAGAGGUCUAAAACAACCACCGGACACGGGGCCAAAGACAAAGCAUCACUGCAGAGGAGGUGCCGAGUGCUCAUUGGCCAUCCUCUCCGCUACGGUCGACCAGGCGAUGUUCCUUGAAGAAAUGAAUCACUUUGUUGAUCAAGAGUUUGAUGAUGUAAUGGAAGCAGCAGGUGCCGGGCUGAAAGGUGAAACCAGACACGACACUGUUGAUGCUGACAGAGAGGGCAGACGGCAUCGUAUCAGUCUGGAGUCCUUUCCCUUCAUCUGUAACUGUUCCUCUUCUUGGUGAGGCAGGGGGGAGCACCGAAAGAG
Long non-coding RNA from Oncorhynchus tshawytscha (Chinook salmon), 340 nucleotides. The record is from Ensembl. NCBI's taxonomy places the organism in Eukaryota, Metazoa, Chordata, Actinopteri, Salmoniformes, Salmonidae.